Molecule: ribosomal RNA, 253 nt
Filed under: uncultured bacterium
Lineage: Bacteria
Description: partial 16S ribosomal RNA
Rfam family: Bacterial small subunit ribosomal RNA
Source: RNAcentral
UACGUAGGGGGCAAGCGUUGUCCGGAAUCAUUGGGCGUACAGAGCUCGUAGGCGGUGUGUCGCGUCGGUCGUGAAAACUUGGGGCUUAACCCUGAGCUUGCGGUCGAUACGGGCAUCACUGGAGUUCGCAGGGGAGACUGGAAUUCCUGGUGUAGCGGUGAAAUGCGCAGAUAUCAGGAGGAACACCGAUGGCGAAGGCGGAUCUCUGGUCCAAUCCUGACGCUGAGGUGCGAAAGCUAGGGGAGCAAACGGG